GUUUUUCGCUCUAUGAUAAGCCCGCGUAAGAUUAGCUAGUUGGUGAGGUAAUGGCUCACCAAGGCGACGAUCUUUAGCUGGUCUGAGAGGAUGAUCAGCCACACUGGAACUGAGACACGGUCCAGACUCCUACGGGAGGCAGCAGUAGGGAAUAUUGCACAAUGGAGGAAACUCUGAUGCAGCGACGCCGCGUGAGUGAUGAAGGACUUCGGUUCGUAAAGCUCUGUCGUAUGGGAAUAAGAAAGUG
This 247-nucleotide ribosomal RNA is filed under the name uncultured Bdellovibrio sp. RNAcentral describes it as "partial 16S ribosomal RNA". It matches the Rfam family "Bacterial small subunit ribosomal RNA", at positions 210 to 456 of the family's 1533-position model. Lineage: Bacteria; Pseudomonadati; Bdellovibrionota; Bdellovibrionia; Bdellovibrionales; Pseudobdellovibrionaceae. The record is from RNAcentral.